AAUCAACGCUGGCGGCGUGCCUCAGACAUGCAAGUCGAACGCGAAACCUUCCUUCGGGAGGGGAGUAGAGUGGCGCACGGGUGAGUAACACGUAGGUAAUCUGCCUUCGGGUGGGGAAUAACAGCCGGAAACGGCUGCUAAUACCGCAUAAUGCAGCGGCUCGACAUCGAGACAGUUGUUAAAGCGGGGGAUUCGCAAGAACCUCGCGCCUGAAGAGAAGCCUGCGGCAGAUUAGCUAGUUGGUAGGGUAAUGGCCUACCAAGGCGACGAUCUGUAACCGGCCUGAGAGGGCGGUCGGUCACACUGACACUGACAUACGGGUCAGACU
Molecule: ribosomal RNA, 328 nt
Filed under: uncultured bacterium
Lineage: Bacteria
Description: bacterial SSU rRNA
Rfam family: Bacterial small subunit ribosomal RNA
Source: RNAcentral